CAGAACGAACGCUGGCGGCGUGGCUAAGACAUGCAAGUCGAACGGACUAUAUUGAAGAGUAAUCGGAUCUAUAGUUAGUGGCGUAAGGGCGAGGAAUAAGUAGGUAACGUACCCUGUACUUCAGAAUAGCGUCCCGAAAGGGGCGGUAAUACUGGAUGAUGUCAUUAUCCUCAAGGAUAAUGAUCAAAGAUUUAUCGGUAUAGGAGCGGCCUAUUUCCCAUCAGCUUGUUGGUAAGGUAACGGCUUACCAAGGCUACGACGGGUAUCGGGACUGAGAGGUUGACCCGACGCAUCGGAACUGAGACACUGUCCGGACCUCCACGGAGGGCUGCAGUAACGAAUAUUGCACAAUGGGCGAAAGCCUGAUGCAGCAACGCCGCGUGUAGGAUGAAGCUCCUCGGAGUGUAAACUACUGUCAGGGGUUAGAAAGUACGCUUCGGCGUAUUGAUCAGCCCCAGAGGAAGUCACGGCUAACUUCGUGCCAGCAGCCGCGGUAAUACGAAGGUGGCUAGCGUUGUCCGGAAUUACUGGGCGUAAAGGGCGCGUAGGCGGGAUAGCAAGUCAGUGGUGCAAACUUGAGGCUUAACUUCAAGCUUGCCAUUGAUACUGUUAUUCUUGAGUUCGGCAGAGGGAAGUGGAAUUCCUGGUGUAGCGGUGAAAUGCGUAGAUAUCAGGAAGAACACCGGUGGCGAAGGCGGCUUCCUGGUCCGAUACUGACGCUGAGGCGCGAAAGCGUGGGGAGCGAACAGGAUUAGAUACCCUGGUAGUCCACGCUGUAAACGAUGGGUACUAGGUGUUGGUUGUAAUGAUCAGCGCCGGAGCAAACGCAUUAAGUACCCCGCCUGGGGAAUACGGUCGCAAGACUGAAACUCAAAGGAAUUGACGGGGGCCCGCACAAGCGGUGGAGCAUGUGGUUUAAUUCGAUGCAACGCGAAGAACCUUACCUGGGCUUGAACUGCAGGUGCUAUCUCCUGAAAGGGAGUUUCCUUCGGGACGCCUGUAGAGGUGCUGCAUGGCUGUCGUCAGCUCGUGCUGUGAGGUGUUGGGUUAAGUCCCGCAACGAGCGCAACCCCUGUCCCUAGUUGCCAUCAGGUCAAGCUGGGAACUCUAGGGGGACUGCCCCGGAUAACGGGGAGGAAGGUGGGGGUGACGUCAAGUCAUCAUGGCCCUUACGUCCAGGGCUACACACGUGCUACAAUGGCCGGUACAACGGGUAGCGAGACAGUGAUGUGGAGCAAAUCCCUUAAAACCGGUCUCAGUUCAGAUUGCAGUCUGCAACCCGACUGCAUGAAGUUGGAAUCGCUAGUAAUCGCGGAUCAGCAUGCCGCGGUGAUACGUUCCCGGGCAUUGUACACACCGCCCGUCACGCCAUGGGAGUCGGUAGCACCCGAAGCCGGUGGCCCAAUCCUGCUUGCAGGAGGG
This 1422-nucleotide ribosomal RNA is filed under the name uncultured organism. RNAcentral describes it as "partial 16S ribosomal RNA". It matches the Rfam family "Bacterial small subunit ribosomal RNA". The record is from RNAcentral.